RNAcentral lists this ribosomal RNA (279 nucleotides) under uncultured bacterium. RNAcentral describes it as "partial 16S ribosomal RNA". It matches the Rfam family "Bacterial small subunit ribosomal RNA", at positions 506 to 784 of the family's 1533-position model. The record is from RNAcentral.
UGCCAGCCGCCGCGGUAACACGGAAGGUGCAAGCGUUAUCCGGAAUCACUGGGUUUAAAGGGUGCGUAGGCGGCGUAAUAAGUCAGAGGUGAAAGCUCACAGCUUAACUGUGGAACUGCCUUUGAUACUGUUAUGCUUGAAUUAGGUUGAGGUUGGCGGAAUGAGUCAUGUAGCGGUGAAAUGCAUAGAUAUGACUUAGAACAUCGAUUGCGAAGGCAGCUGGCUAGACCUUAAUUGACGCUGAGGCACGAAAGCGUGGGGAGCGAACAGGAUUAGAUA